This 1467-nucleotide ribosomal RNA is filed under the name uncultured rumen bacterium. RNAcentral's name for it is "partial 16S ribosomal RNA". It matches the Rfam family "Bacterial small subunit ribosomal RNA". The record is from RNAcentral.
AGAGUUUGAUCAUGGCUCAGGAUGAACGCUGGCGGCGUGCGUAACACAUGCAAGUUGAGCGACGACGCAUCUGAAGUGGCAACAUGGAAGGUGCGAGCGGAGCAGCGGACGGGUGAGUACAACAUGAGAAGCUGUCCUCUGGUGGGGGACAACGUCUAGAAAUGGACGCUAAUACCCCAUAGGCCGAAAGGUUGAAGCAGCAAUGUGCCAGAGGAGGUGCUCGUGCCCUAUCAGCUAGUUGGUGAGGUAAUGGCUCACCAAGGCGACGACGGGUAGCCGGCCUGAGAGGGUGUCCGGCCACACUGGGACUGAGAUACGGCCCAGACUCCUACGGGAGGCAGCAGUGGGGAAUAUUGGGCAAUGGGAGAAAUCCUGACCCAGCGACGCCGCGUGAACGAAGAAGGCCUUCGGGUCGUAAAGUUCUUUUAUGCGGGAAGAAGAAAGUGACGGUACCGCAUGAAUAAGCCCCGGCUAACUACGUGCCAGCAGCCGCGGUAAUACGUAGGGGGCGAGCGUUGUCCGGAAUUACUGGGCGUAAAGGGCACGCAGGCGGUGUGUCAAGUCAGCUGUAAAAGGAUGCGGCUUAACCGUAUUGUGCAGUUGAGACUGACGUACUGGAGUACUGGAGAGGCAAGUGGAAUUCCCAGUGUAGCGGUGAAAUGCGUAGAUAUUGGGAAGAACAUCGGUGGCGAAGGCGACUUGCUGGCCAGUAACUGACGCUGAGGUGCGAAAGCCAGGGUAGCAAACGGGAUUAGAUACCCCGGUAGUCCUGGCCGUAAACGAUGAAUGCUAGGUGUGCGUGCAGAGAUGCAGGUGUGCCGUAGUUAACGCGAUAAGCAUUCCGCCUGGGGAGUACGGUCGCAAGGUUGAAACUCAAAGGAAUUGACGGGGGCCCGCACAAGCGGAGGAACAUGUGGUUUAAUUCGAUGAUACGCGAGGAACCUUACCCGGGCUCGAACGGCAGAGGAACAAUCCAGAGAUGGUGCGGCCCUUCGGGGCUUCUGUCGAGGUGCUGCAUGGUUGUCGUCAGCUCGUGCCGUGAGGUGUCGGCUCAAGUGCCAUAACGAGCGCAACCCUUGCCGUCAGUUACCAGCACGUCGUGGUGGGGACUCUGGCGGGACUGCCACCGCAAGGUGAGAGGAAGGGGGGGAUGACGUCAAAUCAGCACGGCCCUUACGUCCGGGGCGACACACGUGUUACAAUGGGUGCCACAGAGGGUAUCUACCUGGCGACAGGAUGGUGAUCUCGAAAAGCGCCCUCAGUUCGGAUCGGAGUCUGCAACCCGACUCCGUGAAGCUGGAUUCGCUAGUAAUCGCGCAUCAGCCAUGGCGCGGUGAAUACGUUCCCGGGCCUUGUACACACCGCCCGUCAAGCCAUGAAAGCCUGGGGCGCCUGAAGUCCGUGACCGAGAGGAGCGGCCUAGGGCGAAACAGGUAAUUGGGGCUAAGUCGUAACAAGGUAACCGUA